GGCCUGGUGGUGUAACGGUAACAUCCCUGCUUGCAUUACUAUCUCAUCACAGUUGCAGCAGGAGUUCCUUGUUCGACUCAAGGUCAGGUCU
Molecule: non-coding RNA, 91 nt
Organism: Mycena latifolia
Lineage: Eukaryota; Fungi; Basidiomycota; Agaricomycetes; Agaricales; Mycenaceae
Source: the annotation of a GenBank genome assembly